RNAcentral lists this ribosomal RNA (429 nucleotides) under uncultured prokaryote. RNAcentral's name for it is "bacterial SSU rRNA". It matches the Rfam family "Bacterial small subunit ribosomal RNA", at positions 355 to 796 of the family's 1533-position model. The record is from RNAcentral.
UGGAGAAUCUUGCGCAAUGGGCGAAAGCCUGACGCAGCCACGCCGCGUGGGGGAAGAAGGCCUUCGGGUCGUAAACCCCUUUCAGCAGGGAAGAAGCGAAAGUGACGGUACCUGCAGAAGAAGCCCCGGCCAACUACGUGCCAGCAGCCGCGGUAAUACGUAGGGGGCGAGCGUUGUCCGGAAUCAUUGGGCGUAAAGCGCACGUAGGCGGUCCUGUAAGUCGGAUGUGAAAGCCCUGGGCUCAACCCAGGAACUGCAUUCGAUACUGCAGGACUUGAGGAAGGUAGAGGAGAGUGGAAUUCCCGGUGUAGCGGUGGAAUGCGCAGAUAUCGGGAGGAACACCAGUGGCGAAGGCGGCUCUCUGGGCCUUUCCUGACGCUGAGGUGCGAAAGCGUGGGGAGCAAACAGGAUUAGAUACCCCCGUAGUCC